CCACACUACACAAACACACAUAAAUCAAUCAUACAACACAAUGAGACUCUUUAUACCUGCUCUGUUUCUCUUUCUAGUAUUUACCUUCAAUGUGAUGAUACAUGUUGUUCAAGGAGGUCGAUCAUUUAUCAACAAAGAAGUUGUGGCUACUGGAAGUUCUGCCCCUACUAGAAGAGGUAACUGCGAAAAGCAAAAGGGUGGAUGCAAGGAAAGAAGUGGGGGAUUGGAAGAGUCUGUAAUGUUUGAGCAUGAAGACUAUGUUUAUACCAACUCUUUACCUUAGAUGACAUGGUUUUGCUUAUUCCUUUACUCGAUGAUAUGAUGUAAUAGUUAUGAACUUAUGGUGAUCUUCAGCUUGUCUGAAACAAGUUAGAUUGAUGAUUGAAAAUGAUCUGUAUAUAAACUGCAUAUUUUCAUGAGAUCACUAACAUCAUCAGAUAGCUCUUCUCAUCCUAUGACCACAAGGCACAAGGACAAAGAUUAAUUAUGAGUGUCCUCCACAAUUUUUUCUCAUCUUGGAUUCAUUCUCCUUCUUAGAUAGCAGAAAACUUGUUGUAUUUAGUGGAGAAGUUGUAAUAUUUGAUUUACUUUUUCUCUUACCUAAAACAAAAUAUCAAAUUACGACUAUCAGUUGGGCUUAGAUCAAGUUAAUAAGUUAGCUUCAGAUAUUGCACAAUCCUUUGUAAAUGUGGGAUUAUUUUUUAAUGUAAUAUGACAUCUUUACAUACCCCAUGAGAUCAUGCUGAUUCUUAAGACAUUUGUGUUGGUCUAAUAUGAAAUUUAAGAUAGAUUUUGAUAUCAUUUUGAAUAAGAUCCAAAUUCAACCACAAAAACCAAGUCAAGAGAUGACCAUUUUGAAUACAACAUAUUGAUGAUAAAUACAAGAUACUUACAUUUGCAUUUUCAUUGGACAAAUUUAUGUACGUCAGUUACAAGCAAGGCUUCCCCCUGCCAAAUUUAUUGGAAGCUGCAUCAUACAUUGUGGUACUUUCAAG
Lotus japonicus is the source of this 995-nucleotide long non-coding RNA. RefSeq lists it as uncharacterized. NCBI's taxonomy places the organism in Eukaryota, Viridiplantae, Streptophyta, Magnoliopsida, Fabales, Fabaceae. The record is from RefSeq and is a predicted model, not a curated record. The transcript is spliced from 2 exons.